GAUGAACGCUGGCGGCGUGCCUAAUACAUGCAAGUCGAACGGACAGGCCCGGCUCUUGCUGGGCUGACGUUAGCGGAACGGGGGUGUAACACGCGUGUAAACCCCCCCUGUCUUUGUGAUAACACUAGGAGAAUGGGGCUCUGAUCGGGUAUGAUCUACUGAUGCAUAUUGGGGGUUGGUAAGAUUCGGCGGUUCGGGAUGGACUCGAGGCUUAUCCGCUUGUUUGGCUGGUAGGUGCUUACCAAGGCUUUGACGGGUAGCCGGCCUGAGAGGGUGACCGGCCACAUGGGGACUGAGAUACGGCCCAGACGCCUACGGGAGGCAGCAGUGGAGAAUAUUGCACAAUGGGCGGAAGCCUGAUGCAGCAACGCCGCGUGCGGGAUGACGGCCUUCGAGUUGUAAACCGCUUUCGCCUGUGACGAAGCGUGAGUGACGGUAAUGGGUAAAGAAGCACCGGCUAACUACGUG
This 468-nucleotide ribosomal RNA is filed under the name uncultured bacterium. RNAcentral's name for it is "partial 16S ribosomal RNA". It matches the Rfam family "Bacterial small subunit ribosomal RNA", at positions 28 to 507 of the family's 1533-position model. The record is from RNAcentral.